CUUUAGUAAAAUUAAAAUAUAUGUAUAAUAAUAAUUUAAAAACUCAGAUGUAUUCUAAGCAAGGCAAUAUAGAAAUAACUACUUUACAAUAUAAUUUACACUAUUUAAUCAAAACACCAAGAAACUGUGCCUGUGAAUAAUUCUACAAGGACAUGGAGAAUAAGCAUGUUAGUGGUAGUAUAUGCUGGUGUAACCACUUAUACUGCACUAGUAAAGAAAACUAAACAUUUAGUGUCUUAUCUGCAUAAGAUAGUGUUUCUGAAAUAUCCUGUAUAGAUCCUGCAGAUUCCAAAUUGGUGAUAGGUGUGUGGCAAAUCCUACUCUAUUUUUCUGGAUGCAUAGUCCCAGAGUGACAAUUUUUUCAUUCUUCAUUCUCUACUUUUCUAACCCUUUCCCCUAGGCUGCUAGUUCUGGUAACUAACCUGUCUUCCCUUCUCCUGGAAUAUGUUUCUCUAACUGAGCUGUCUACCUGAUAGAGAUCAUAAAAAGUUAAAAACAUAAGUAGGUAUCAGUGUCUGCGAUUUCCUAAAUAUACCCUACACUGACAGUUUGGCUGAGCCAAGAAAAAAUUAGAGUAGAAUUUAGAUACAAAAAGUGGGGAAGUGACAUUCAGUCUUAAGAUAUGAAAAUGGCAUAGCAGGAAAAAGAGAAAUUGAGGGGAAGAAAGGAGUCAGAGAACAGUGAUUAAUUGGCAAGUGAUACAUUGGGAGACAGGAUAGGAAAGUGAAGAGAAAGGAACAUAUAAUGGAGGAGGUGAACAUAAAGAAGAAGCUAAUGAUGGUUAAAGAUAGCCUUCUUAGAAUGUUAGAAGUGAUAGAGAAAAAGAUGGAGAAGAAAAAUUAGAAAGGUAAAUAUAGAAUGGUUGAGGGAGAAAGAAAAGAAUAAAGGUAAGAAAGUAAAUGAUAAAGGUAAAGAGAGAGGCAUUGGAAUUUAAAAAAUGCCAAGAAUAUUAACUAGGAAAAAACCCGACAAAAACCAACACACACAAAAGAAAUAUAGAGUGCAUCACAACUAAACUGAUAUUUAGAUCUCCAUAUAUAAAAUGAAAAGUUCAUCUGCCUUUCAGACAUGCAAAACCA
RNAcentral lists this long non-coding RNA (1079 nucleotides) under Marmota monax (woodchuck). The record is from RNAcentral. Lineage: Eukaryota; Metazoa; Chordata; Mammalia; Rodentia; Sciuridae.